This is a long non-coding RNA of Cavia porcellus (domestic guinea pig), 2873 nucleotides long. RefSeq lists it as uncharacterized. The transcript has 5 exons. The record is from RefSeq and is a predicted model, not a curated record. Lineage: Eukaryota; Metazoa; Chordata; Mammalia; Rodentia; Caviidae.
GGCUGCUGGGGGGGGGGAAGCAAGACAGUGAGCCCACGUCCCCUGCACACCUUCUGCCGCUCCCCACAGGGCGGAAGGCUCACACCAACCUCAAGCGCAGCAAGUUCGUACAGGCCCCCAAACUCUGUCCCACAGGGCUGGGGUGUGAACCUUGUGCUCAGACCAUGUGGGCGACUCCUGGCAGCCAGAGGACACUGCGCAAGCGCCCAGGUCAGGCCUGUGCUCAUUGGCUCACAGCUGUCACUCUUCCCACCUUCUGGGAGCCUUGACCAAUGAGGUGAGUUGCCUUGUCACCACAUGACUACAGGAAGCAUGGGAGGCCAUUUCCCAGUUCUGAGGAUGAGCCAACUUAGAGUUCUAGUUAAAGGGCUCUUACAUGAGGGACAUUUCUCUACAUGUUCCAAGCACCUCUGAAGACAGAGGAUCCAGAUGCUACAUUCUCUGAUCAACAAUUCCCUCUCCUCCACUCAAGGUCCAAAUGCAGCACAGUUUGCGGGAGCUGAGUCUUGGAAACGGCCCAAGUGCCCAUCAACCAAAGAAUGGAUAAAGAAGAUGUGAUUUUUUUUCUGUACAACAGAGUACUACUCCGACAUAAAGAAGGAGGAAUUGAGGCAUUUUGAGCUGAUGGACACUUAGGUUGUUUCAAAGAUCUGGCUAUUACAAAUUGUGCUACUAUAAACAUGGGUAUCUUCCAGUUCCAGAUGAAUUUUCGAAGUGCUUUCUCUACAUCUAUGAGUUAUCUGAAAAAAAAAACUGACUCUAAAUUUUACUGUAGAAGCAAGCAGCUCGCCUCCCUGGUAAUCAGUGGUGGUGUGGCAGACUGCGGCACUUCCAGGGGGAGAACCACCAGUGUCUUUUGAGAUCCCUACCAUGUUGGAACUUAGGACCCCGGGAAACCAAACAAGCAGUUCACCUCCCUGGGAAGCGUGGUGACGUGGCAGCCUGCAGCACUUCCAGGGUGAAAACCACCAGUGUCUCCUGAGUUCUGCGCCAUGUUGGAAGUUAGGACCCUGGGAAACCAAACAGGCAGCUCGCCUCCCUCGUAAGUGGUGCAGAUGUGGCAGACUGUGGCUUUUCCAGAGGGAGAAGCACCAGUGUCUCCUGAAAUCCACGCCAUGUUGGAACUUAGGAUCCUGGGAAACUAAGCAAGCAGCUCGCCUCCCUGGUAAUCGGUGGUGGUGUGGCAGACUGCAGCCACCCCAGGGGAAGUACCACCAGUGUCUCCUGAGAGACGCACCAUGUUGGAACUUAGGAUUCUGGGAAACCAAGCAACCAGCCUGCCUCCCUGCUAAGCAAUAGUGAACCUACUGGUGCAUGGCCUAGGUCAAACAUCCUACUUUCCCUACCCCCCUUUCCAUGUUCCCCCAUUAGCAAAUGGGAACCAGAAAUCUGAGCAUCUCUUGGGAGCUUGACCAUAGCAAGGGAGAUCUCCUUCUACCAUCUCUUUGAAGGCAAAUAUUUUUAUUAAUGUUUUGCUUUAUUCUGAUUAAUGGUACCGCUCUAUUCAAUAUUCUGCUUUGAUAAGUUCUAUAAUGUUCUGUAUUUCAUUUUAUUUUGAUAUGUGUGAUUGAAAGAACUCUUGUAAAGACAACGAAAUAUAUUGUGAUAUCCAUUGCUGUUAUUCCAGUAACCUGCUGUGAAGUUCUGUACCAAUUUCACUACAUGGUCUCAGUUGGCUUUAUUCUAUCUUGUUCUGUUAUAUUUUACUACUUUCAAAAUAAAAAAUUUUAAUAAAGAAAUUAUAUGCAACAGAUUAAACAAAGGAGAGGAUAGAAUUUCAGGUCUUAAAGACAGAAUUGCAGGUAGUGAUCAUGAAAAGAAAGGUAUCUCAAAAAUAGCAACAGAUCAUGAGAAAUCAAUACAACAGCUACAAGAAAAGUCAAAGAAGAAUAGCACAAGAUUGACAGCAGUCAAUAAGAACUGGAGACAGCACAAAUGCCAUAACAAUCAUAAGUAUAUACGCACCUAAUACAGGAGCACCCAACUAUAUAAGACAGUUAUUAGUAGACAUAGAAAACCACCUGAGCAAUAACAAAGUUGUAAUGGGAGACCUCAAUACACCAUUGUCACAGAGAGAUAGAUCAGUUAAACAGAAAAUCAGUUAAACAGAAUAUCAGAGCUGAACCAAACCUGCAAACAAAUGGAGUUAAUAGGAAGAAGCCAUUUUCUGAGGCCACUCAGUAGUGAGAUCUAGGAAGCCUAGCACCAGCCAGGAGAAGAAGCCAUACCCUAAGGUCCUGCUUCCAUUGGUGAACCACCACCCCAUGUCUCUCUACUACUUCAGGAAACCCAAUUGGUGGAGCUCAGGUGCCUAGUAGUCUAGUACACUGUACCAUGGGUCUGGCAGCAAAUGCAGGAAACACCUGAAGUCUGAUUUGGAGGAACACAGGAAAUUGUCAAGAUGAGGAGCAAAAUAAAAUCUCAGACCUCCAACCCACACAGAACAAGUUCAGAAAACACAGACAUAGUAGGAAUUAGAAGCAUACACCUGAAAUUUCUGAAAAGGUAACAAUUUAGCUAAAGAAGCAACUUAAUUCUUGUAUUUUGUUUGGUUAAUUUUACAUACUGAUGUCUGAUGUUCUGGACAGCUAUUCUGAAGAUAACAAGAUUAAUUAUGGUAGCCAUUGUUAAUUUCCUAUUAGUUUUCAAGUCAUGUAUCAUUUUCAUUGCUUUCUUUUGUUUGAUUUUAUUAUGUCUGAUGGUAUGAGCAGCUAUUUGAGGAUAACAAGAUAUAAUAUGGUAGUCAUUGUUAAUUUCCUACUAUAUUGUUUUGAAGUCCUAAAAAAAUUUACUGCAUACAUUUUCACAUUAACAUAUCUCAUGAUGCUGUUUUACAUUUAUCUUUUGUUACUGUUAAAAAUGAUUAAAUAAAU